Molecule: long non-coding RNA, 4034 nt
Organism: Bubalus bubalis (water buffalo)
Lineage: Eukaryota; Metazoa; Chordata; Mammalia; Artiodactyla; Bovidae
Exons: 6
Source: RefSeq, a predicted model, not a curated record
CUCCCGCCGAGGCGCGCGCACCAGAAAUUAGCCCCCACUAGCGCCGCCCGGGGCUUCCGCCCCGAGGCCUGACGGUCGCCGUUCGGUUCCGGUUCUAACCCCGCCCUCACGCGGUAACCCUCCAGAAGUCUUAAUAUCCGGGACCAGAGGCUGGCGCCAGCGCGCACUUCCGGCGACGGACGCAGAGGAAAGAAUCUGGUGACGCUUCUUCCCUUGUACCGUGCCGCCCAGGCUCCGGCUCUCGGUGCGGCAGCGCCAUCUGGUGCUGAGUCUCUCGCUGCCCGCAGAGGGGGCGCGCGCCCUUCUCCCGGAAUCUUCCAGAGAAAAUGUGGCCUGGGCUUUCGUCACUCGCCCUCGGAAAAGGAGAGACCCGAGCUUUCGCCCUGCCGAGUUCUCACGCAGGAGGGACACAGGAAGAAGACAACCUUCUAUGAACGUGGAAGAGAACCAAAGCUGCUGGUGCCUUGAUCUUGGACUUCCAGCCUCCAGAACUGCUGCUCUCACUUUCAUUUCUGUGGAACCUGCAAAGGAGAGCUGUGGAAGCUCAUAUUAUCAAGGGCCAGAACCCCCAUGCCUCAUGAAAAUUAUUUGUCAAAGUAACCUGGGAGAAGUGAGAAAUUUGCCAGGCAGAUUCUUUACCACUGAGCCGUCAGGGAAACCCAGUCUGAACUGAGAUAUGCAGCAAAUGUACACACUGGAUUUUGAAGACUUAGUCUAAAACAAUUAGACAAUUGUCAUGUUGCAGCUCAGGAGAUAGUGGAAGAUUGAAAGUAAAGAAACUGGAAAAUUAUUGUUGCCCUGAAGAUCACUUCUAUUUGUUGCAUCAUGAUAAAGAUCAUGUUUUCACCAGGAUUUCCUGAAGAACUGGACAAGCUGAUUUUGCAGUCUUAUGGAAGAGUAAAAGGUCAACAAAAGCCAGGAAAAUCUGGAAGAAAGAAAAGUAGGGGAAGGAAAAAAAGGAAGAUAAAGAUAAAAAUUACUUUUACUAAGACUUUUAACAAAAUUAUUGUAGUUUUAAAAGUAGUUUUAAAAGAGAUAGAAAAAGUGAUCAUUGAGAGCAUGAAGACAUUAAAAACAUACCCUAGAGUAAACUUGGGAUAUGACAGGCAAUGUUGUAAAUCAGUGGGAAAAGGGUAGAAUUUUUAACAAAUCGUGUGGGCCAAUUGAUUACAUAUGGAAAAAAAUAACAUUAAACUUCUUUUUCAUGACAUACAGAUUCACAUUCCCAAGUGGCUUAAAGACAAAAAAAAAAAUUAGGAAAAACGUGGAAGAUGUAUAUACUCAAAGACUUAGGUUCAUGGGAGUAGAGGGUGUAAUAAAUAUGUUAAUAAUUUAAAGAGAGAAAAUGUAGAAGAAAUUUCAGUAUGUAAACCUAGAGUUCUUUUUUUUAUAAAAUCACAAAAUACCAGUAAAUUAUAGAGAAAAAGAUUAAUACAUCUAACUACUUUAGAAAACAAAUUUAAACUACAUUAAAAGUUAAGAGAAACCGUAAAUAAAAUGAAAAGGAAAGUCACAGACUGGAAAAAUCUAUGGGAACCACUUAUAAACCCCAAAUUUAUAAAACAUGUCUACAAGGAAUUCUCUGGCUCUCUAUUAGUUAAGACUCCACCUUCCACUGCAGGGGAAUGAUGGGUUUGAUCCCUGUUCAGGGAACUAAGGUGUCACAUUCCAACUGGCAUGACCAAAAAAAAUUUUUUUAGUACGAAUAUAAUUCUUGUAAACUCUUAUAAUACAUCUUAAUGAAAAAUUAGAACUUAAACAUUCAACUAUUAAAAAAAAAAAAGAGAGAGCUACAAUAACACAGUAGAAAUGUAGCUAAGGGGCUUCCCAGGUGGCGCUAGUGGUAAAGAAUCUGCCUAAUAAAGCAGGAGACAUAGGAAAUGGGGGUUGGAUCCCUGGGUGGGGAAGAUGCCCUGGAGGAGAGCAUGGCAACCCACUCCAUUAUUCUUGCCUAGAGAAUCCCAUGGACAGAGGAGCCUAUUGAGCUACAGUCCUUAGGGUCACAUAGAGUCGGACGUGACUGAAGCAAUUUAGCAUACAGGCAGUGUAGCUAAAAGCUUAUGAAGAGGCAGUUUAAAGGCAAGAAACACACAUGAGCAAUUGCAUAUGAAAAAUGAAAAUACACUCAACUUCACUAGUUGAGCUCAAGUUUACUAGUUACCAGGAAAUUGAAAAAUAAAACAGUGAGCUGCCAUUUGAGGCUAUCAGAUUAGCAAAACAUAAUCAAUCUAUUGACAUCAAGUUUUGGUAAAUACACAUUUCUGGAGGGCUUGUAAAUUAGUACAACUUCUUAGAAAACAAUUCUGCUAUCAUUUGAUUAAGUUAACUAUGGUUCAGCAAAUGUACUUCUAAUUUAUUGAGUGUUUACUUAAAUAAAUACUAGAUAUACAUGCUAGAAUCAAUGCAUAGCAGGUUGAUUGUAUUCUUUGUGAUAAAGUGGGGAAAAUGCAUGCCCUUGAAUAGAAGGCUAGAUUUAUUUUUUUAAUAUGAAGUAAUAUUAAAUAAUCUUAAGGCUAAAUUUACCAGUACUUGGAAUAAUAAACUUCAAAAACAUUAGUUUCAGUGCAAAAGUUAAUCUUAAAAAAUAACUGUAUUAUUCAUGUAAGUUUAAAAAACACACAAGAUCAUUUUUAUAUACAAUUUUAUGAAUAAAAACGUGAUAAAAGUCCUAAAAACCACGUGGGAACAAUCCAUGUUAACUUCAGGUGGUACCUCCUAGGUAGGAAAGGAUGAAGAUGGAGAUUUACUGUAUCUUAAAAUUAUGUUUCUUUUAAAAAACAAAACGGAAUAAAACAUCUCUUUCAAAUAAUAGUAACACAUAGAAAUCUUGGGUGAUGAUUACAUUAGUGUCAUAUGAUUCACUGUAUAGUUUGGCUAUAUUGUUCAUUUGAAACAGAAUUAUUCAUUUGAUUUUGGUUCCUAAAAAGAAACAGGGAGUGAAAAAUCAUUUACACUCAAGGACAUAGCCCUCAUCAGUUCUGCUGAGCCUGGACUGAGCUCAGGUUUUUCACCAGAGGACCAGCCUGAGCCUGGCCAUUGGCUGAUGAUGUCUGUCAGGAAGCUGCAUGGAGAGGGCCUACUGAGCGGACCACUGAGCCCUCUGCCUCUGCCCCUGGCAGCUGAGCUCUGCCCUUCUCCUCUGGGGAGCCCUGGAAGGCCUGAUACCAGAGUGAGUGAGAGGACCCAGCGGUGGCACAAAGAUUCGUGGCCAGAUACCAGGACACACAGGAAGUUACAAGAGAAAAGCUUUCUGUUUCAGCUCCACCCGUCGACCUUUGGUGGGUGAGUUUUCAGUAAAACAGCAACGUCUUCUGAAUGCUCGGAGGAAAGGCUUUAUAACCUGGGGGUAAGAGGCAGCUUCUAAAUACAAUUGAUGUGGCUUUCUUGCCUUCGUUCAGGCUAUCCAUUUUCCACCACAUAAUCUUCCCAUUGUCCACACUGAUUCCUGUUUUUUUUGGCAGGGUUAACUGCUGGCAGGCCUCCUCCGUGCUGAGCUCCUCAUCCUCCACUGUGCAGGGGUUACUGAAGCAAGAGCAAGCUUUCCCUCACUCCCCGGAACAGGAGCCAAGUGUGACACAAAUUGUGAAACUUGUUUCUGGUUACCAGAAAAACUUAAAGAAAUCCUCAUCAAGCAAAAAGUUGACAAAAAUCUUUCCAACAUUUGAACAAAAAAGGUAUUUUUCAGGUGUUAGAUUUAUGGAAGUCAGUUCUCCAAACCCAGCCAGACUUUCAAACCUCCUAUUCUUUGCACUAUGUUAUUUAAAUACACUGUAAAUACCCUCCGUUGCUCUAAUACCAGGUCCAUAUUGUGCAAGACGACCAUGGUCUGAAGACCUUGUUGAAUUUGAAAGAGGCAGAAGUUCCGUUUCUGGCGCAUAAACUUGAAUCAGGACUAGGGUAAGAGUGCCAAAGAAGUCCACACUCUGACAGCUAGACAAGCAGGCCAUUUAUUUUGAAAGACUUUGAAUCCCUUCCCAGAGCAAAAUGCAGCCCUUUAUACUCAGUAGGCUUGGAAUAAAAUCAUCUUAACUGAC